UAAAUCAGUCCUUGUAGUUUUGCUGAUGAAAUGAAAUACUGUAAAUAUUUGUAACAUAUUUGUGUCUCACCUGUUCAAGAAGGAAGAACAUGGCUAUGGGCUCCUUCUACCUGCUCAAGGACAGUCUGAUGACAGAUAGCAAACGCAGGAUGAAGGCCUUCAAAGGCACUGGAAAACAAAGGCGAAUUCUGUGAGGAGGAGGUAAUUUGGAGAUGAUUUGUCACUGCCAUACUUCAUAUGUGUUGUCACCCUGUCCCUUUACCUUGGAUGUCCUUUUUUACUCACUCAGUAAUCUAAAGAAAUACACUGAGGACAAAAAACAAACUGUUCUGAAGAAAAAUCAUGUUUUUCACUUUAUGCCUCCAUUUAGAGUUACCUAAGAAAUUUAUUCAGAAUCGGCGACUUCAGACAUUGCGGUUAUGACUAAGUGAUAUUUCCAGAUAUGAAAACAUUGUCAGAAAGUACUCGACCAGCUUUUUCCCACUUCUUUGAGCAACCCAGCUGUGACUGCCAGAGCUGACAUGGGCAAGCCUUACAGGCAGGUGCUGCCCUGUACCGGGCUCUUAUCGCUCGUGGCUUUCCAGGCUCCCAGCUGGUUUACAGCAGCGCGAGGAGGGCACAGAAAGUCAAGGCCGUCAGUGUCAUUAAAAGCAACAUGAAAGUCAUGGUAUCACUGAUCCACCUAUCUUAACUGCUACCUGGUGAUUUAGAGCUUGCUUUCUUAUCAGAGGCCAGGAGACACCGGGGUUGUUCUCCGGCAAGCAGGGAGAAGAGAGAAAUUCAGCACAGCUCCCCUAUUUCCAUAACAUGAGGAAACUUGCUUAUUUGAACUUUGGAGAUAAAUUUAUCUUGAAAAGAAAAGAUAAAAAAAAAAAAAAGGCAGAAUCGAUCUUGAUGUCUAAAUUUUUUUAUUAUUAAUUUUAUUUAUUCUUUUUCUUCCUCUAUUGACCAAAUAAAUAGAUGGAUGAAAGUUCA
This 975-nucleotide long non-coding RNA is filed under the name Anas platyrhynchos platyrhynchos (common mallard). RNAcentral's name for it is "lncRNA (ENSAPLG00000017206.1)". The record is from RNAcentral. Lineage: Eukaryota; Metazoa; Chordata; Aves; Anseriformes; Anatidae.